This is a long non-coding RNA of Xiphophorus hellerii (green swordtail), 222 nucleotides long. RefSeq lists it as uncharacterized. The transcript is spliced from 3 exons. The record is from RefSeq and is a predicted model, not a curated record. Lineage: Eukaryota; Metazoa; Chordata; Actinopteri; Cyprinodontiformes; Poeciliidae.
AGGUCUUAAACGUUUGUAUAAAAUGUGCCAGUUUGACACUAAGAAGCUUACUGGAAAUUGCCUGCUCUGUAAACAACCAUCCUCCACUGUGAAGAGAGCUGUUAAAGUUAAACGGCUGUUAAAGUUAAUUCAAUAUGUGGCAAAGCUGCCGACAUGGACUGAACUUGAUGAUCAUGGUUACUGAUUAAACUUUAAAAAUUAUGUAGCUUUAUUUUAUUAAGA